This 497-nucleotide ribosomal RNA is filed under the name uncultured bacterium. RNAcentral's name for it is "partial 16S ribosomal RNA". It matches the Rfam family "Bacterial small subunit ribosomal RNA", at positions 28 to 507 of the family's 1533-position model. The record is from RNAcentral.
GAUGAACGCUGGCGGCGUGCCUAAUACAUGCAAGUCGAGCGAACAGACGAGGAGCUUGCUCCUCUGACGUUAGCGGCGGACGGGUGAGUAACACGUGGAUAACCUACCUAUAAGACUGGGAUAACUUCGGGAAACCGGAGCUAAUACCGGAUAAUAUAUUGAACCGCAUGGUUCAAUAGUGAAAGACGGUUUUGCUGUCACUUAUAGAUGGAUCCGCGCCGCAUUAGCUAGUUGUUAAGGUAACGGCUUACCAAGGCAACGAUGCGUAGCCGACCUGAGAGGGGGAUAGGCCACACUGGAACUGAGACACGGUCCAGACGCCUAAGGGAGGCAGCAGUAGGGAAUCUUCCGCAAUGGGCGAAAGCAUGACGGAGCAACGCCGCGUGAGUGAUGAAGGUCUUCGGAGCGUAAAACUCUGUUAUUAGGGAAGAACAAAUGUGUAAGUAACUAUGCACGUCUUGACGGUACCUAAUCAGAAAGCCACGGCUAACUACGUG